UUUAUUUCUUUUUUCCUUUUCUUUUUCCUUUUAUCUUCAUCAUUUCCAAACUUUCACUUUAAAAACCCUAACUUUUACCAUUCUCCACGCUGCCGCCAUCGCCGCUAGCUAACGUUGCUGUUCAACACCCCCACCAUAUCAAACCAACACGUCACGGCGUCAAUUCGCCGCUCCUUUUCUACUAGCUGCACCCCAUCGCACCAAACCGACCCCAAACACCACCGUUUGCGCUUUCCUUUCUCCGUGCACGACAAACAUUUGCGUCUCUCCACCACCAAGCCUUCACGCAUAAAAAAGCCACCUCUUCAAACCCCAACCACCACACUUUAACUCCAAAAAACCUAAACCCCCACUACAACCUCCAUAAACGUCGCCGUUUCUAAAACCACGAUCACCACCUUUCGAACACCGUCUUGACCCACAUCGCCACCGCCCGAAUGUUGUGAGCCACUGUCAUCGUUUGUCGUAGCAAGCCGCCAUCAUAAGCAACUAUAAAUAGAUACCAUCAUUUACUUUUUAAUCCCGAACGUAGGCCAUGGUUUGCACUAGAAACCAAUCGGUCGACGAGUUCCCGAUUUCUCUUUAUCGAGGUUGAAACCAACUUUCAGGACUAUCAGUCAUCGACAUUUACGACGAAGACUCAGAACCAUCUUCACCACUAUCAAUACAUGUUGUUGGACUGAGUCAACACCAACGUCAAAGAAGUUCGACAUCGAUCGAAAUGGAAGACCUAUAAGUUCAUUCGAACGCUUCUGACGAAAUAAGGUCGUUCAGACGGAACCUGCACUUUAGAUUACAAUGACACAGAACCAUCAAAUCAAAACGAGCAAUCACCUUUGUGCCAAACAAGGUCAACCACUGCACGUUCUAGACGGCAACCACCACACCAGCAAAGAGAAGAGCCAGAUUUAACCCCGAACAACAGUAUUGAGGCUGCUGAUAUGUAGUGUCUGCCAAACAGUUCGUCCGAAGAGGUGUACCAACCUCCAAGAAAUAAUAGGCGCGAGCAGCGAGGGCGUACCUACAUGAUGUCGCCAAAAAAGAGAUUUCAGGGAUUUUUGAAUUUCAAAACCUUGGGACACCGUAUGAGAUACAAGGAAAUUCAACAUCAUCUUAUCCUUGUUUGUGAAUAUAUCUUUUACUUUACCCUUGAUACGUGAUUCUGUGUUUAAUUAUUUCGAUGCUAUUGGUUGGAUAUUGUAUGCGAAUAUUUACCGUGCUACUUUUUUUGAGCUUGUAUAUGAAUUUUAUGGAACGUUUAGUUUCAAUAAAAUUACGGUUAUGAUUGUUGAAA
Gossypium raimondii (Peruvian cotton) is the source of this 1294-nucleotide long non-coding RNA. RefSeq lists it as uncharacterized. Lineage: Eukaryota; Viridiplantae; Streptophyta; Magnoliopsida; Malvales; Malvaceae. The record is from RefSeq and is a predicted model, not a curated record. The transcript has 2 exons.